GCCUUGUGUAUGUAGGUUUCAGACCAGGGCUAUUGCCUUGUGUAUGUAGGUUUCAGACCAGGGCUAUUGCCCUCUGUAUGUAGGUUUCAGACCAGGGCUAUUGCCCUCUGUAUGUAGGUUUCAGACCAGGGCUAUUGCCAGUGCCUUGCACAAGUUUUUAUCCCCCUUUCUGUUUUUCCUAUUGUUUCAUGUAAUGGAUUUACACAAAAUAAUCUAAAUUUGUGAAGUGAAAUUUAAAAAAUGACUUGUUUCAAAGAAUAAAAACAGGAAAGUGGUACGUGCGUAUGUAUUCACCCCCAAAUGCUUUGAAGCCCCUAAAUCAGAUCUGAUUGCACACAGGUAGAUUUUAAGUGUCACAUGAUCUCAUAUCUACCCCAGUUCUGAAAGGCCCCAGAGUCUGCAACACCACUAAGCAAGCGGCACCAUAAAAACAAACGGAGCUCUCCAAACAGGUCGGGGACAAAGUUGUGGAGAAAUACAGAUCAGGGUUGGGUUAUAAAAAAAUAUCAGAAACUUAGGACAUCCCACGGAGCACCAUUAAAUCCAUUAUCUCUGCUGCAGAUGAGUUUAUUAGGAUCUCUUUUAGUCCUCCAUUUGGAGUAAUCUUCCAAGAGUCCUUCAACAUUAAAAUACAAUUUAUAAUACGAUCACAUUUUCACAUUUAACACACUAUUACAGACAUAAUACACUGACAUAUUGACCAGAUAAAUACUCUUUAACAGUCUGAAAUUAUAGAUUGAUUCCUUCAUCUACCAUAUUCCUGCACAACCUUCCAAUUUAUUGUAUUUAAAUGGUCCUAAAGUAUUGUUUGAAUUUAUAUAUUGAAAGGUUUCUGGUUUGCUCAGAUACAUUUUUCCAUUUCUUUAUUGCUCUAAAUUGAAAUUUUAUUUAGCCUAUUUCUCUUUUCUGUCUGUCCACCAUCUGUGUUAUCCAAUCUAAAUCAAAUUAAAUGUUAUUUGUCACAUACACAUGGUUAGCAGAUGUUAAUGCGAGUGUAGCGAAAUGCUUGUGCUUCUAGUUCCGACAAUGCACUAAUAACCAACAAGUAAUCUAGCUAACAAUUCCAAAACUACUACCUUAUAGACACAAGUGUAAGGGGAU
Molecule: long non-coding RNA, 1101 nt
Organism: Oncorhynchus tshawytscha (Chinook salmon)
Lineage: Eukaryota; Metazoa; Chordata; Actinopteri; Salmoniformes; Salmonidae
Source: Ensembl